GGAAGGUUAACCCUAAUCGGUAAGGGCGCAGUCUUGAAAACUGCUGCGUGAAAACGCUUGAGAGUUCGACUCUCUCACCUUCCGCCA
RNAcentral lists this transfer RNA (87 nucleotides) under Acidobacteriota bacterium. RNAcentral describes it as "tRNA-Ser". It matches the Rfam family "tRNA". From Rfam's summary of the family: Transfer RNA (tRNA) molecules are approximately 80 nucleotides in length. Their secondary structure includes four short double-helical elements and three loops (D, anti-codon, and T loops). Further hydrogen bonds mediate the characteristic L-shaped molecular structure. tRNAs have two regions of fundamental functional importance: the anti-codon, which is responsible for specific mRNA codon recognition, and the 3' end, to which the tRNAs corresponding amino acid is attached (by aminoacyl-tRNA synthetases). tRNAs cope with the degeneracy of the genetic code in two manners: having more than one tRNA (with a specific anti-codon) for a particular amino acid; and 'wobble' base-pairing, i.e. permitting non-standard base-pairing at the 3rd anti-codon position. Lineage: Bacteria; Pseudomonadati; Acidobacteriota. The record is from RNAcentral. RNAcentral also lists the same sequence under 1 other name.